UGCAAGUCGAGCGGAGACAGUGAGUAGCUUGCUAUGAGCUGUUUUAGCGGCGGACGGGUGAGUAACGCGUGAGCAACCUUUCCCAGACAGGGGAAUAACACACCGAAAGGUGUACUAAUACCGCAUAAGACCACGGGAUCACAUGGUUCUGAGGUAAAAGAUUUAUCGGUUUGGGGUGGGCUCGCGUCCGAUCAGGUAGUUGGUGAGGUAACGGCCCACCAAGCCGACGAUCGGUAGCCGACCUGAGAGGGUGAUCGGCCACAUUGGGACUGAGACACGGCCCAAACUCCUACGGGAGGCAGCAGUGGGGAAUAUUGGGCAAUGGAGGAAACUCUGACCCAGCAACGCCGCGUGGAGGAAGAAGGUUUUCGGAUCGUAAACUCCUGUCCUUGGAGACGAGUAGAAGACGGUAUCCAAGGAGGAAGCCCCGGCUAACUACGUGCCAGCAGCCGCGGUAAUACGUAGGGGGCAAGCGUUGUCCGGAAUAAUUGGGCGUAAAGGGCGCGUAGGCGGCUCGGUAAGUCUGGAGUGAAAGUCCUGCUUUUAAGGUGGGAAUUGCUUUGGAUACUGUCGGGCUUGAGUGCAGGAGAGGUUAGUGGAAUUCCCAGUGUAGCGGUGAAAUGCGUAGAGAUUGGGAGGAACACCAGUGGCGAAGGCGACUAACUGGACUGUAACUGACGCUGAGGCGCGAAAGUGUGGGGAGCAAACAGGAUUAGAU
Molecule: ribosomal RNA, 718 nt
Filed under: uncultured bacterium
Lineage: Bacteria
Description: bacterial SSU rRNA
Rfam family: Bacterial small subunit ribosomal RNA
Source: RNAcentral